GCCUCGAGCAUGAUUCUGGGGGUGGCCUUGGGUGCAGCAACGCUAGGACUCCGGAACGCCCCACUUCAAGACCCAGCAACUGGAGUUCUGGGGGAGCCGGCUCAGACUUAGACUUGCUCUGGUGCAGAAGAAGAUCUGGAGCCCGUAACUCAUAAGCGUUUCA
This 163-nucleotide ribosomal RNA is filed under the name uncultured bacterium. RNAcentral describes it as "partial 16S ribosomal RNA". The record is from RNAcentral.